RNAcentral lists this long non-coding RNA (601 nucleotides) under Brassica napus (rape). RNAcentral describes it as "long non-coding RNA (BNAP_LNC025262)". Lineage: Eukaryota; Viridiplantae; Streptophyta; Magnoliopsida; Brassicales; Brassicaceae. The record is from RNAcentral.
AUAUACAUUAAUCAUAUUAGGCAAUUCCGUAGCUUUUAUUUAAAGAAAGUGCGAAAUUAUUCUUUUGUAUACUAUUUAUCAAUUUAACAGUUAAUUUAAUAAAAAAUAUUAUAUAAAUUAAGAUGGACCAACAUAUUUCUCUAAGAAUUCUGAAUUUCAUUCUCAUGUUGACAUGUGUCUACAAAACGAUGUUAUAAUGUUUCUCAAUUAAUAUAUAAGAUACAUUAUUUUCUGCUAUUUUAACUGUGGCAAGUUUCUUAAAACUAACUGAUGGCUUUUAGUCAUUAAAUCUACUCUAAACAAAAUGAAAUAAACGGAUUUAUGAUAAAAGAAAUUUAAUCAAAGGAAUAAUUAGUAGUGGUAAUACAAAAUGGUUGGUUUCAUUGUACGCAUGGUCGUACCUGAGUACAGGAGAAACAAACAUAAGUUUGGGGAUUGAAAUAUUAUAUAACUAUUAGGGAUAUAAACCAAAAUAAGUUAAUAGUUCGGUUGGUAAUGCCUUUAUUUCGACUUCUUUCCAUAACAUUUUUAAUUUUUAUGGUUUUAGGGACCAAAAAAAUAAUCGACUUUCUGGACCUAAUAUUCUCAGACCUGGCCCUCA